RNAcentral lists this non-coding RNA (114 nucleotides) under pig gut metagenome. RNAcentral's name for it is "FMN riboswitch (RFN element)". It matches the Rfam family "FMN riboswitch aptamer (RFN element)". Rfam says of the family: The RFN element is a highly conserved domain that is found frequently in the 5'-untranslated regions of prokaryotic mRNAs that encode for flavin mononucleotide (FMN) biosynthesis and transport proteins. This element is a metabolite-dependent riboswitch that directly binds FMN in the absence of proteins. The record is from RNAcentral.
CUUCAGGGCGGGGUGAAAUUCCCCACCGGCGGUAUAGUCCGCGAGUGACUGCCUUUGGCAGGAACCGAUCCGGCGAAAUUCCGGAACCGACAGUAUAGUCUGGAUGAGAGAAGU